GUACUGCUGAGGAGUCCCACAAUAGGACGAAACGGCCGUCCAGUGC
Molecule: non-coding RNA, 46 nt
Organism: Schistosoma curassoni
Lineage: Eukaryota; Metazoa; Platyhelminthes; Trematoda; Strigeidida; Schistosomatidae
Source: Rfam